This 338-nucleotide long non-coding RNA is filed under the name Elaeis guineensis (African oil palm). Its description in RNAcentral is "long non-coding RNA (EGUI_LNC009679)". Lineage: Eukaryota; Viridiplantae; Streptophyta; Magnoliopsida; Arecales; Arecaceae. The record is from RNAcentral.
CCACGACAAGGAGGAGAUGGGCGGCAAGGAAGGGGUGACGCCAAAGAAGAAAGGGGGUGCCCUUUUCUCAUGCAGAUCUCUCUCUCUUUCUCUCUUCUCUCCAUCUGAUUUGUUUGCUAUACAUCCAUAGGUAGAGAUCUUCUCUAUUCGUAGAUAAUUUUCAUGACUCAAUAAGCAUAGGACUCUUAAUUCAAACAUAUUUUGAAUUAGUCUAAUACUCAUAAAAGGACUCCUACAUGAGAUAGGAUUGGAAUCAUAUAAGGCACCCACAAUGCACCCAUUCCCACACCCACAUGGGAUUCCCACAACCAACACCAUGCCAAGUGCUGGUCGGCCCA